This 1604-nucleotide long non-coding RNA is filed under the name Oryzias javanicus (javanese ricefish). Its description in RNAcentral is "lncRNA (ENSOJAG00000007655.1)". Lineage: Eukaryota; Metazoa; Chordata; Actinopteri; Beloniformes; Adrianichthyidae. The record is from RNAcentral.
UGGCAGAAAAGCCCUAAGGAUAUUAAAAGAACAUUAUUCUGGAAAAAGCAAGCCAAGAAUAAUAAAUAUGUACACAUCUUUAACCAAGCUACGAAUGACGGAGAAAGAAAGUGUAACAGACUAUAUAAUAAGAGCAGAGAACAUCAUUGCAGCAUUAAGAGAUGCAGGUGAAACGAUGAGCGAUGGGCUAAUCAUAGCCAUGAUACUAGCAGGACUUCCAGAUUCAUUCAAGCCCCUAGCUAUUCAUGUGACUCAAAAUGAAGAUACGGUCACAUUUACAGACUUUAAAAGAAGACUGAGAGUCUAUGAGGAGUCAGAGAAAAUGAGCAGAGCAGAAUCUGACAACGUGAUGAAAAUGCAUGUAAAACAGAGACAAAGCACUACCAAAACUCAAGCCAUGUACAAGAAAGAUGAAAGUACCACUGUGAUAUGCUACAAGUGUGGAAUUAAGGGACACAAGGCAAGAGACUGUUUUAGGAAAGUUUGGUGUGGUUUCUGCAAAAGCAACACACACCAAGAGUCCAUGUGCAAGAAAAAGGGGAAACGAGAUGAAGCCAGAAAAGUUGCUGAUGAAGAAGAAAGCAAGCAAGAUCAUUUCUUCAAGGCAAAGUACAAGACGUGUGAAAGUACCCAGAACAAUGUGAUAAUGAAAGGCAUCAUGGUGGAUGCAGGAGCUACAUCCCACAUUGUAAACGACUUCAAGAAAUUUGAAAGUUUCGAUGACUCAUUUCAGGCUGAGACUCACUCAGUGGAGUUAGCAGAUGGAACCCAGUGCAGUGGAAUGGCGGAAGGAAGAGGGACAGCAACGAUCUACAUUCUAGACAACGCUGGACGUCAGCACAAAGCACAGCUGCGAAACGCACUCUUCAUGCCAUCAUACCCACAUGACAUCUUUUCAGUGGCAAGAGCAGCUAAUGGAGGAGCAACAAUCACCUUCAGAAAAGGAGACUGCACCAUGAUUACCAAAGAUGGUUCCAGGUUUGAUAUCCAUGAAAAUGGAAACUUGUACUACUUACCAACUGUUGAUGUAAGUACUGAUGAUCAGUGUAAAGUAUGUCACGACAUUCAAACUUGGCAUGAGAUCUUAGGCCACUGUAACUAUGAAGAUGUACGAAAGUUACAAAGUGUUGUAAAAGGUAUGGAAAUCAAAGGGUGUUUAGGAAAGCCAGAUCAGCUAUGUGAAGUUUGUACACAGGGAAAAUGUACAGAAACCAGAAACAGAGAACCAGAUGCAAAGGCCAAGCAACGAUUAGAACUUGUACAUACUGAUUUAACUGGCCCAAUGCCCACACCAAGCAUGGAAGGACACAAAUAUGCGCAGUCUUUUACCGAUGACUACUCAGGCACCAUAUUUGUAUAUUUUCUUAAGUCCAAAAGCGACACGGUGGCAGCUACUGAAAGAUUUUUGGCCGAUAUUGCACCUUAUGGAGAAGUUAAGUGCAUUCGUUCAGAUAAUGGCACUGAAUUUACCAGCAGAGAUUUCCAAACUCUGUUAACUAAGAACAGAAUCAGACAUGAAACAUCUGCACCCUACUCACCUCACCAGAAUGGCACAGCAGAAAGAGGUUGGAGGACACUAUUUGACAUGAGUAGAUGUUUACUGA